GCAUUUUGUAGAAUGGACAGAAGCAACUGCAAUGAAAGAAUCUUUGACCGCAGUUCAUGAGAUUUUGGAUCUGGUGGUCCAUCUGAUAGGGGCUUCAUGGAGAGUUUACACAGUGACCUGAAUACAAGGAAGGCAUCCUUUUGUAAAAUGUGGGAAAACUUAGCACCAGGUGUAGGUCCUGAAGAAUUUCCAGAUUCCUGAGUAUCAUUGGAAGAGACGGAUAAUCUGUCAUCCGGUAAAGAUGGUGUAUAAGCAACAGAAAUUGGAGUCCCUGGAAUUCCAUUUGCCUGAAUGUUUUCACUGUCACUGCCAUCCUCUAAUGUUACAAUUGUUCCAUCACCACUUGCACUUUCAGCAGAUCCUUCUAUAUCUCCAACUACUAUGUUCACCAUUUCCUGCACAAUACUUUCUACUAUUUCUUGUGCCUUCUCUUCACAUUCAUUGCUUUCAUCAUCAU
This 457-nucleotide long non-coding RNA is filed under the name Gallus gallus (chicken). Lineage: Eukaryota; Metazoa; Chordata; Aves; Galliformes; Phasianidae. The record is from RNAcentral.